CGCCUGGGGAGUACGGGUGAGGUAACGGCUCACCAAGGCAUCGACGGGUAGCUGGUCUGAGAGGAUGAUCAGCCACACUGGGACUGAGACACGGCCCAGACUCCUACGGGAGGCAGCAGUAGGGAAUAUUGCACAAUGGGCGAAAGCCUGAUGCAGCAACGCCGCGUGCGGGAAGAAGGCCCUAGGGUUGUAAACCGCUUUCAGCAGGGAAGAAAAUGACGGUACCUGCAGAAGAAGGUGCGGCCAACUACGUGCCAGCAGCCGCGGUGACACGUAGGCACCAAGCGUUGUCCGGAUUUAUUGGGCGUAAAGAGCUCGUAGGCGGUUCAGUUAGUCGGGUGUGAAAACUCUGGGCUCAGCCCAGAGACGCCACUCGAUACUGCUGUGACUAGAGUGCGGUAGGGGAGCGGGGAAUUCCUAGUGUAGCGGUGAAAUGCGCAGAUAUUAGGAGGAACACCAGUGGCGAAGGCGCCGCUCUGGGCCGUAACUGACGCUGAGGAGCGAAAGCGUGGGUAGCAAACAGGAUUAGAUACCCUGGUAGUCCACGCCGUAAACGUUGGGCACUAGGUGUGGGUCUCAACCAACGAGAUCCGCGCCGUCGCUAACGCAUUAAGUGCCCCGCCUGGGGAGUACGG
Molecule: ribosomal RNA, 635 nt
Filed under: uncultured Actinomycetes bacterium
Lineage: Bacteria; Bacillati; Actinomycetota; Actinomycetes
Description: bacterial SSU rRNA
Rfam family: Bacterial small subunit ribosomal RNA
Source: RNAcentral